This 403-nucleotide ribosomal RNA is filed under the name uncultured bacterium. RNAcentral describes it as "partial 16S ribosomal RNA". It matches the Rfam family "Bacterial small subunit ribosomal RNA", at positions 28 to 526 of the family's 1533-position model. The record is from RNAcentral.
GACGAACGCUGGCGGCGUGCCUAAUACAUGCAAGUCGAACGCAGUGGGGACGGGUGAGUAACCCGUGGGUAACCUCCAAUCAGAGGGGAUCACACAUGGAAACAGGUGCUAAACCGAUACUGAUGGAUGGACCAGCGGUGCAUUAGCUAGUGGGCGGGGUAACUGCUAACCAAGGCAACGAUGCAUAGCCGGCCUGAGAGGGUGAUCGGCCACACUGGGACUGAGACACGGCCCAGACUCCUACGGGAGGCAGCAGUAGGGAAUCUUCGGCAAUGGACGAAAGUCUGACCGAGCAACGCCGCGUGAGUGAAGAAGGUUUUCGGAUCGUAAAACUCUGUUGUUAGAGAAGCGGUAUCUAACCAGAAAGCCACGGCUAACUACGUGCCAGCAGCCGCGGUAAUUC